CCCGAUUCGGAUACCGAAUCCACGCAUUCUGUUGCUUCGGCCAGAAUCAGAUUCCAAUGGUGAAUCCACUCGAUCUGAGCUUCGGCCAGAACCCGAUUCGGAUAACGAAUCCACGCAUUCUGUUGCUUCGGCCAGAAUCAGAUUCCAAUGGUGAAUCCACUCGAUCUGAGCUUUGGCCAGAACCCGAUUCGGAUAACGAAUCCACGCAUUCUGUUGCUUCGGCCAGAAUCAGAUUCCAAAUGGUGAAUCCACUCGAUCUGAGCUUCGGCCAGAACCCGAUUCGGAUAACGAAUCCACGCAUUCUGUUGCUUCGGCCAGAAUCAGAUUCCA
Molecule: long non-coding RNA, 330 nt
Filed under: Zostera marina
Lineage: Eukaryota; Viridiplantae; Streptophyta; Magnoliopsida; Alismatales; Zosteraceae
Description: long non-coding RNA (ZMAR_LNC000160)
Source: RNAcentral